This 528-nucleotide long non-coding RNA is filed under the name Equus caballus (horse). Its description in RNAcentral is "lncRNA (ENSECAG00000044846.1)". Lineage: Eukaryota; Metazoa; Chordata; Mammalia; Perissodactyla; Equidae. The record is from RNAcentral.
AGUGUGUGUGGCAGACCCCUGGGCUAACAGCCCAAGGGAUGCACCUCAAUGGUCCCAACUGGUGCCCAUAUCAGCACGCCUGGACCAGCUCAGAACAACGACCCCCACCAAUGUCUCUAUCUCAGGAGAGGAUCCUCCUCUCAUCAAGAUGCCCCCAGAGCCCACCAGGCAAGAAUUGAUUUCAGCCCAAUUACUUUUAUCUUAAAACAAGCUUUAUCAAGACCACUGACAGGUGCAUUCCCUGUGGAGGUGAGAGGCACAAGAAAAUAUGCUGGAUACUUUUGAAGUCAUGUAACAAUAAUUUGAAGGGGAUUUUGUUUCUCAUUUAAAGAAGCACCAUUUUUGGUUAGGAUGGAAUGUGCAACUAGAUAAUUUUUUGUGUGUCUGGCAUUUAGUUCUAAGACUAUUUCCUUUAAUAAAAUCUGAAAAUGUAUUUUUCUUCUGUACCUUACAUAUUUAUGUGAUCAUGAAGAGCCCAGUCAAAAUGAAUCAUAGCUAUGGACUAGUGUAAAGAAUGAACCUUACCCA